GCCAGCAGCCGCGGUAAUACGAAGGUCCCAAGCGUUGUUCGGAAUCACUGGGCGUAAAGCGUGUGUAGGCUGCGCGGAAAGUCAAAUGUGAAAGCCCGGGGCUCAACCUCGGAACUGCAUUCGAUACUCCCGUGCUAGAGUAAUGGAGAGGUAAGUGGAAUUCCUGGUGUAGUAGUGAAAUGCGUGGAUAUCAGGAGGAACAUCAAUGGCGAAGGCAACUUACUGGACAUUUACUGACGCUCAGACACGAAGGCUAGGGUAGCGAAAGGGAUUAGAUACCCCUGUAGUCCUAGCAGUAAACGGUGCUCGCUUGGUGUGGGAGGAUUCGACCCCUUCUGUGCCGGAGCUAACGCGUUAAGCGAGCCGCCUGGGAAGUACGGUCGCAAGACUAAAACUCAAAGAAAUUGACGGGGACCCGCACAAGCGGUGGAGUAUGUGGCUUAAUUCGAUGCAACGCGAAGAACCUUACCUAGGCUUGGCAUGCUUGUCGUACUCUCCCGAAAAGGAGAGGUCACUUCGGGUGGACAAUGCACAGGUGCUGCAUGGCCGUCGUCAGCUCGUGUCGUGAGAUGUUUGGUUAAGUCCAGCAACGAGCGCAACCCCUGUGAACUGUUGCCAGCGCGUAAAGGCGGGGACUCUGUUCAGACUGCCCAGAUCAAC
Molecule: ribosomal RNA, 660 nt
Filed under: uncultured Verrucomicrobiaceae bacterium
Lineage: Bacteria; Pseudomonadati; Verrucomicrobiota; Verrucomicrobiia; Verrucomicrobiales; Verrucomicrobiaceae
Description: SSU rRNA
Rfam family: Bacterial small subunit ribosomal RNA
Source: RNAcentral